CAUAGUUUAGUUUGGGUCUGAGAGACUCUGUGACGGCGGCUGUCUUCCAAUCUACCUGAGAAAGCGAAAUCUAUUCAGAUUUGAAAAGGGAACAUGUCGGUUUCUUUGUCAAACGUCACUGUUUCUCAGAUCCUGCUCGGCUGAGGGAAAGGAACGGGGAGAUGAGGAACUUGCUAAUACUAGCAUAAAAAGAAACAACAGUAAGGGGCGUGAAUAUUUGCAGUUCUUGAUCGCGCAACCUCUAGUACCUAGCAGCGAAGAUAGGAUCACUUUUGAAGGCUAGUAAAUAGAGAAAGAGGUUCUUACACUAUCUGGAUCUUAGAGGCUUUAACCACAUAUACUAUCUCUCUAUAUCUAAUAAUGAGCGACAGAUGGAGAACGACGAGGAGCAACUUAAGAACACAUUCAUGGCCACUUCAAGACCAACCAGCUUAAGUUCGGAUUUUGCUCAUGGACAAUGUGAAAUAAGUUUUCUGGAUUCUGAAAACAAUACUUGUCAUGUUGAUGUAUCACCUACGGCAGAUGAACAACAGAGUUGUGGCCUUUGACUUGGCUCGUGAGGAGUUUCGGCUGCUGCCUAUCCCUCCUUGUGUGCAAGACCGUCAGAACAAAUUUAGAUAUGGUCUUGUAGUACUGGGAAGGCAUUUGUGUUUUUACAUGGAUAAGUUGCGGGUGGAAAUUUGGUCGUUGGUGGAAAGUAGGGACUCGAAUGAGACGACCUGGCGCAUGGAGUUUGAUAUAGAUUACGAAGCCGUAAUAGGUUCUCCUGAAAAGAAUUUUAAGCCGAUUUUACUUACCCAUAAUGGAGAAAUCAUAUUCUUACAUGCCGAAUCUGUGCUAUACAGUUAUGACACAAAAACAACAGUUCUUAAGAUGAUUUCCAAUGAAGCGUCAACUGAUUGUUUCGACGAUAUCGAUGCAAUUGCUCAUGCAAACACCUUUGCAUCUUUAGAAGCUAUCGGAGAAAAUUCCAAGAAAUACACAGUUCGUCCACGUCGGGUUCCUAGUCCAUGGGAUGAUGUUAUUGAUGAGUUAGACCGAGUUGCUCUUGGUGAGGAAGUUGAUACGACGCGUUUCAGACUCAGGUGAUCAGCAUUACAAUAUUACAAUAUCUCCUCUCAUCCGACUGCAUUUCAGACUCAGGUGAUCAGCGUUACAAUAUCUCCUCUCAUCUGACUGUCUUGAUAGUUCGUUUUUAUUUUGUGGUGUUUGAUUGAAUAAAAAUUCCACAUAAAAUUGUUCAGGGUGACUCAUUUUUACUUGCGGGUAGGUUUAUGGUGUUUAGCUCCAA
Molecule: long non-coding RNA, 1291 nt
Organism: Papaver somniferum (opium poppy)
Lineage: Eukaryota; Viridiplantae; Streptophyta; Magnoliopsida; Ranunculales; Papaveraceae
Exons: 5
Source: RefSeq, a predicted model, not a curated record